AUGGAUCAAGACCUCAAGUUUGUCUUCUGGAAUGUCCAUUGAUUGAAUUGCAGAGCCAAGCACACUGCAAUCCGAACUGUCGUCACCCGCGCCCCCUCUGUUGUCUGCCUCUCGGAGACCAAGCUCUCCCUGGUCUCGUCCGCGAUCAUUCUCGAAAUGCUCGGCCCUCCGUUUACCGAUUUUUUCUGGUUACCAAAUACUGGCACGCGGGGCAACAUCCUCCUUGCAUGGCGCCCCGAUCUUCUCAGCCUUUUCAACCCCGCCAUUGGAUCCUACCAUGUCUCCGCUGUGGUCACCACCACGUUGGGCACUCAUCCCUGGUGGAUCACCGGCGUGUACAGUCCGCAAGACGCUGAAGACAAAAUCGCGUUCAUGAACGAGCUGCAUGAGCUACAUGCCACCAUGUCCGGGCCAUGGCUGCUGGGAGGGGACUUCAACAUGGUCACGUCAGUCGCUGACAAGAACAACGGCCGGAUUAACCAGCGUACCUCCAGCAGAUUCCGACGCUUCAUCACGGACCACGCCCUUCGCGACAUCUACAUGCAUGGGAGGCGCUACACCUGGUCGAGCGAGCAGGACAUCCCCACGCUGGUCCGCAAUGACCGUGUGUUGUGCACCACCUCCUAG
Molecule: ribosomal RNA, 627 nt
Filed under: Triticum aestivum (bread wheat)
Lineage: Eukaryota; Viridiplantae; Streptophyta; Magnoliopsida; Poales; Poaceae
Description: partial small subunit ribosomal RNA
Source: RNAcentral